This 494-nucleotide ribosomal RNA is filed under the name uncultured bacterium. RNAcentral describes it as "partial 16S ribosomal RNA". It matches the Rfam family "Bacterial small subunit ribosomal RNA", at positions 28 to 507 of the family's 1533-position model. The record is from RNAcentral.
GACGAACGCUGGCGGCGUGCUUAACACAUGCAAGUCGAACGGUGAAGCGCCUUCCUUUUUGGUAGGUGUGGAUGAGUGGCGGACUGGUGAGUAACACGUGAGUAACCUGCCCCCUUCUUCUGGAUAACCGCAUGAAAGUGUGGCUAAUACGGGAUAUUCUGGGUCUGUCGCAUGAUGGGUCAGGGAAAGAUUUUGUUUCGGUGGGGGAUGGGCUCGCGGCUUGUAAGCUUGUUGGGGGGGUGAUGGCCUACGAAGGCAGAGACCGGUGGCCGGCGUGGGGGGGUGGACGGUGACGCAGGGACAGAGAGACCACACAGACUCGGAAGGGAGGCGGCAGGGGGGAUUAGUGCACGAUGGGAGUAAGACUGAGGCAGGGACGCCGCGUGAGGGAUGGAGGCCGUCGGGUUGUGAACCUCUGUCGCCAGGGAAGCAGGCCUGCCUGGAUUGUGGAUGAGUUGACGGUAGCUGGAUAAGAAGCGCCGGCUAACUACGUG